RNAcentral lists this ribosomal RNA (883 nucleotides) under uncultured bacterium. RNAcentral describes it as "bacterial SSU rRNA". It matches the Rfam family "Bacterial small subunit ribosomal RNA", at positions 49 to 922 of the family's 1533-position model. The record is from RNAcentral. RNAcentral also lists the same sequence under 1 other name.
UAACACAUGCAAGUCUAGGGGAAACGACAUCGAAAGCUUGCUUUUGAUGGGCGUCGACCGGCGCACGGGUGAGUAACGCGUAUCCAACCUGCCCAUCACUUGGGGAUAACCUUGCGAAAGUAAGACUAAUACCCAAUGACGUCUCUAGAAGACAUCUGAAAGAGAUUAAAGAUUUAUCGGUGAUGGAUGGGGAUGCGUCUGAUUAGCUUGUUGGCGGGGUAACGGCCCACCAAGGCAACGAUCAGUAGGGGUUCUGAGAGGAAGGUCCCCCACAUUGGAACUGAGACACGGUCCAAACUCCUACGGGAGGCAGCAGUGAGGAAUAUUGGUCAAUGGGCGAGAGCCUGAACCAGCCAAGUAGCGUGCAGGAUGACGGCCCUAUGGGUUGUAAACUGCUUUUAUAAGGGAAUAAAGUGAGUCUCGUGAGACUUUUUGCAUGUACCAUAUGAAUAAGGACCGGCUAAUUCCGUGCCAGCAGCCGCGGUAAUACGGAAGGUCCGGGCGUUAUCCGGAUUUAUUGGGUUUAAAGGGAGCGUAGGCCGGAGAUUAAGCGUGUUGUGAAAUGUAGACGCUCAACGUCUGCACUGCAGCGCGAACUGGUUUCCUUGAGUACGCACAAAGUGGGCGGAAUUCGUGGUGUAGCGGUGAAAUGCUUAGAUAUCACGAAGAACUCCGAUUGCGAAGGCAGCUCACUGGAGCGCAACUGACGCUGAAGCUCGAAAGUGCGGGUAUCGAACAGGAUUAGAUACCCUGGUAGUCCGCACGGUAAACGAUGGAUGCCCGCUGUUGGUCUGAAUAGGUCAGCGGCCAAGCGAAAGCAUUAAGCAUCCCACCUGGGGAGUACGCCGGCAACGGUGCAACUCAAAUGAAUUGAAGGAAUCAG